AUCACUUCUUGGCCUUUCGGCUAAGAUCAAAUGUAGUAUCUGUUCUAGUUUAACAUCUGAUAUGCCGUCUAUUUGAGGACAAUGUAUUAAAUGGAUUUUUAGACAGAGAGAUGGAAUAGGAACCCGCUCCGUCCACUCCACACAUCAACCUGGUAUUGCAGUACCUCCAGGAAUGGUGCACAGAAG
RNAcentral lists this small nuclear RNA (186 nucleotides) under Castor canadensis (American beaver). RNAcentral describes it as "U2 spliceosomal RNA (ENSCCNG00000012022.1)". It matches the Rfam family "U2 spliceosomal RNA". From Rfam's summary of the family: U2 is a small nuclear RNA (snRNA) component of the spliceosome (involved in pre-mRNA splicing). Complementary binding between U2 snRNA (in an area lying towards the 5' end but 3' to hairpin I) and the branchpoint sequence (BPS) of the intron results the bulging out of an unpaired adenosine, on the BPS, which initiates a nucleophilic attack at the intronic 5' splice site, thus starting the first of two transesterification reactions that mediate splicing. Lineage: Eukaryota; Metazoa; Chordata; Mammalia; Rodentia; Castoridae. The record is from Rfam by way of RNAcentral.